RNAcentral lists this long non-coding RNA (1417 nucleotides) under Panax ginseng (ginseng). Its description in RNAcentral is "long non-coding RNA (PGIN_LNC007819)". Lineage: Eukaryota; Viridiplantae; Streptophyta; Magnoliopsida; Apiales; Araliaceae. The record is from RNAcentral.
AAAAAUGUUGACCCCACUGGUACAUGCUCGAAGUAAGAGUUCUAGCUUCACCCCAACUCUUCAGUCACUCCAGGUAAAUCAGGACAGAAUAUUUUGUGAUAAUUUUUUAUUUUUUUUUAAAUGCGUGCAGUUUAUUUUUAAGCAUCCAUCAAGAGGGUAUUCUGUUAUAUAUUUGUAUAUGCUACUUUCUCCCAUCCGUCAUAGUAGGUUAAGUAACAUUUAUAAAUGGUGUUGGUGCUUUUACCUUACAUUGGUAGAUAUAGCAGUUGUAGAUUUGUUGCAUUGUUGCAUAUGAUUAUUCGAAUGGCGUUAAACAGUUGAAUAUUUAGAUAAAUUGUGAGACCCUGAAUUUUAUGAAAUGAAAGUAUUCAAUUUUCUUAUAAUUAUUCUAUUUAGUAAAUGGUUAAAUUGAUAAAAGGUUAAAGUUAAGGGUGAUAUGUGAAAAAUUUUCAAAGUAAACAAGUUAUCAUAAAUAUAAUCGGUGAUAAAAGUAUAGUAAUACGCGUGGUUGCAUAGUAGGACACAGUAUUGUACAGUAUCUUUGAUUAUUGAUGCUUACGUGAAAAGUCACUCAGUUUUAUUCAAUUAUUGUCAUAAUAUUUUAUAUUCAAUAAUUGAGACGACAAAGUUAUUCAUAUUAUUAUUUGCAAUAUUGACGAUGUCUAGAAGUUCUGUCAAGGAGAGGUUAGGUAAUCUAAUUUCGCGCCAAUAGGGAGAAUCCUUAUCGGAAAGCCCCCUCUUUCCUGAGAAUGAUCUGGUUGUUAAAUAUUGUGAGUUAUAAUAUUAAUGAUGAAUAAGUUCGUGUUGAUUAAAAAUGAAAUUGAUAGUUCCAUUGUGUUGGAAUUAUUAGUGUUGGUGAAAAUCGACAUUUAUUUCGAUAAUAAUUGAUGUUUGGAGGUUAUAUUGACCAAUCGGAUAAUUAAUCGGAUAAAUGAGAAAUUAAUUGCUAUUAAUUCAUGAUAAGUGGUAUUUUUACCUACUUAUUGAAUAUCAAUUCAUGCGAAUUGUGCCCAUCUCAAGUACAUUUUAUUCUGUUUUAGUUGCAUUUCAUGUUAUUUUGCAUUGCAUUUACUUAAAACUCCUUUUGGUGAAUAAGUGCAGGAAUCGGCUUAAUUUGGUGGUAUUAGAGGGCACGAGGCUAAUGGAUGCGUGAAGGCGAGGCACAAGCGAGGAUGUGCAUGGCAUGGAGGUACAAUGAAGCAUGAAGACCAAGCAUGAAAGAAGAUCAAGCAUGAAAGAACAAGUAGCAGCAGCAGCAGCAUAACAGAAGCAGAACCAGAAUCAGAACAUGUAGACUGAAGGUCGCGCAGCCGCGCAACAGAAGAGCCUGGGGAGCGCGCGCCCGCGCGAGAACUCAGCUGGACAGGGCAAACUUUUUGCAAGUCUUACGCCCGCGCGAGGGACAUACCGAAGGAGC